UGUCUCCCCCCCUCCCCCUCCCUGGCAGGAGCACCCAGUACCAGGGGAGUACUAGGAGGACGUCUCCUCAACGUGAGUCGGUGAAUGCAUUCUUAACAGUCUUCGGGCUGUGUCUGGAUCCGCGAGAGAGCUACACUGCACCUGAGGUUGAUUGGACAUGCGGCGAUGUUGGACACCAGGGACCUCUACCGUUAUUAAGAAUGGUUGUCACACUUUCUUAAUUCUCCAAACCUUUCUGCCUGGAAGAUAUAUUCUUGAGUAUUUGUUUUCUAGAGGAAGACGAUCAUCAUCUACAGUGAGGAAUUCAGCUUGGGUGGCAUUCAGAACUGUAUGUUAAGGCGACAGAGCAGUGGCACAAGCAGGAUGAGGUCAGUAUCCCGACAGUCAGAAUGCAGUCAGCAGGAUCCUGAAGAUCAGAAUCCCAAUGGAAC
This is a long non-coding RNA of Pseudophryne corroboree (corroboree frog), 431 nucleotides long. RefSeq lists it as uncharacterized. The record is from RefSeq and is a predicted model, not a curated record. Lineage: Eukaryota; Metazoa; Chordata; Amphibia; Anura; Myobatrachidae. The transcript is spliced from 3 exons.